AUUGAACGCUGGCGGCAGGCCUAACACAUGCAAGUCGAGCGGCAGCACGGGUACUUGUACCUGGUGGCGAGCGGCGGACGGGUGAGUAAUGCCUAGGAAUCUGCCUGGUAGUGGGGGAUAACGCUCGGAAACGGACGCUAAUACCGCAUACGUCCUACGGGAGAAAGCAGGGGACCUUCGGGCCUUGCGCUAUCAGAUGAGCCUAGGUCGGAUUAGCUAGUUGGUGAGGUAAUGGCUCACCAAGGCGACGAUCCGUAACUGGUCUGAGAGGAUGAUCAGUCACACUGGAACUGAGACACGGUCCAGACUCCUACGGGAGGCAGCAGUGGGGAAUAUUGGACAAUUGGNGAAAGCCUGAUCCAGCCAUGCCGCGUGUGUGAAGAAGGUCUUCGGAUUGUAAAGCACUUUAAGUUGGGANGAAGGGCAUUUACCUAAUACGUAAGUG
RNAcentral lists this ribosomal RNA (445 nucleotides) under Pseudomonas sp. NN018590. Its description in RNAcentral is "bacterial SSU rRNA". It matches the Rfam family "Bacterial small subunit ribosomal RNA", at positions 30 to 471 of the family's 1533-position model. Lineage: Bacteria; Pseudomonadati; Pseudomonadota; Gammaproteobacteria; Pseudomonadales; Pseudomonadaceae. The record is from RNAcentral.